Molecule: ribosomal RNA, 653 nt
Filed under: uncultured bacterium
Lineage: Bacteria
Description: bacterial SSU rRNA
Rfam family: Bacterial small subunit ribosomal RNA
Source: RNAcentral
CCUGGCAGUGGCGGACGGGUGAGUAACGCGUAAGAAUUUAUCCAUGGGUGGGGGACAACCGCGGGAAACUGCGGCUAAUACCGCAUGAUGACUGAGGUCUAAAGGCGCAAGUCGCCUGUGGAGAAGCCUGCGUCUGAUUAGCUUGUUGGUGGGGUAAUGGCCUACCAAGGCGAUGAUCGGUAGCUGGUCUGAGAGGAUGAUCAGCCACACUGGGACUGAGACACGGCCCAGACUCCUACGGGAGGCAGCAGUGGGGAAUAUUGGACAAUGGGCGCAAGCCUGAUCCAGCAAUGCCGCGUGAGUGAAGAAGGUCUUCGGAUUGUAAAGCUCUUUUGGCGGGGACGAUGAUGACGGUACCCGCAGAAUAAGCCCCGGCUAACUUCGUGCCAGCAGCCGCGGUAAUACGAAGGGGGCUAGCGUUGCUCGGAAUGACUGGGCGUAAAGGGCGCGUAGGCGGAUUGUACAGUCAGACGUGAAAUUCCUGGGCUCAACCUGGGGGCUGCGUUUGAUACAUAUAGUCUUGAGUGAGGAAGAGGGUUGUGGAAUUCCCAGUGUGGAGGUGAAAUUCGUACAUAUUGGGAAGAACACCGGUGGCGAAUGCGGCAACCUGGUCCUUUACUGACGCUGAGGCGCGAAAGCGUGGGGAGCAAACA